This 326-nucleotide ribosomal RNA is filed under the name uncultured eukaryote. RNAcentral describes it as "partial 18S ribosomal RNA". It matches the Rfam family "Eukaryotic small subunit ribosomal RNA", at positions 1470 to 1796 of the family's 1831-position model. The record is from RNAcentral.
CCCUUAGAUGUUCUGGGCUGCACGCGCGCUACACUGAUGCGCUCAACGAGUUUACGAACUUGCCCGGAAGGGUUGGUUAAUCUUUUUAAAACGCAUCGUGAUGGGGAUAGAUUAUUGCAAUUAUUAAUCUUCAACGAGGAAUUCCUAGUAGGUGCAAAUCAUCAGUUUGCAUCGAUUACGUCCCUGCCCUUUGUACACACCGCCCGUCGCUGCUACCGAUUGAGUGUCCUGGUGAAUUAUUCGGACCGGCAGUAAUUCGAGUUUCUCGGACUACAGCUGGAAAGUCUUGUAAACCCUGACACUUAGAGGAAGCAGAAGUCGUAACA